CUCCAUUCUCUACCCUUAAAUCACUUAAGCACAAAGGCAGAAGGCAUUGCAAAGUGCAAUGGUUCUUAGCGUCAUGGGUGAAAUGUUUUUACAACAAAAAUGAGUGAAAGAUUAGAGCUUAGUGGACAUGUCUGCUGUCAACACAACAGGAGCUCCAGAGCCUCAGUGGGUAAACAGACCUUCCAGAAAUCAGGAUUUCCAGCGUCCCCUGAGACUUGUGGCUCGGCACAGACAUCCCAUCAGAUCGAGCACCUGCCUGCCUGACGGCUCCCGCUCUGCACAGCACACACACAGGAGACCCAUUUAUGUGUCUUUUGUCAGCAAGUCCAUCCUGUGGGAUAGAGGACUCUACCAUCAAACUACUCAUGUACAUCCAACUCAUCGUCCCUCCUUGUGUCCACGGUUCUUGUCUCACAUGAAAGCUCGUCCUGAAGACUUCAGACCUCCUUGUUUCCCGAGCUCCAAGUCGGGACCGUGGCCUCCAUCUCAGCAGAAAAUACAGAAUACACACAUCCUUGCUGCCCCAAAGACCCACACUCUGGAGGGAUUCGUCCAGUUCAACCCAGACAGAAGACAAUGUGGUGUGCAGAAAGGCCUGAUCGCAGGAAGGCGCUGUGCUGCUUUUGUUCCCUGUCAUCCACUUCCAGCAACACCGCCAUCAUCCACCGUGAAUUCACCGCCAUCAUCCACCGUGAAUUCACCGCCUCCCCACCAAAACACCCUUCAUCCCGACUCUGGAGGACAACAAAGUCGACCGUGCACUGUGGGAGCAUCUUCCUACAGCCCUCAUCCAGCCUCAGAGGAAACACAUGAGUUCCAGAAGGAGGAGAGAGCGCCCCCACUUGAUGUGUUGUCCAUCACACAAUCUACAGAGCCGGGCUCCAAACUGGAUCUUAGGCCUUCUGGAACAGGGGACUCAGAGUCACUGUCCUCUACGGUGUCAUACAGGUCUCUCUCGGAUUUAAGUCGUCCAUGUUCGAGCCUCUUCAGCCGGAGCACUGACCUCGCCAGUGGCAGGAGCAGUUCCCUGCCGGAUAUAGACUCAGAUGCAGAGAGCAGCGCUUGUUUCUCCCCCUUAUCUCCUUCCCCAGUGAUGGAGUUAGCUCAGGCUUCUCCUGCAUCAGGAUCAAAUCCUCAUCAAUCCACCACAAAAACCACCAACCCUCUGUUCCUCAAGCCACUCUGUGGUCAAACCAAACCCCUCUCUCCUCGCCCACCUUCAAGUAUCCCUCCACAUUCAGAUAAACCUAUGAGCAGUAAUGAAAGCACCAAAGCAGCAGAGAAUGACCACCAAGAUUCAUCCAUCGAUCCUGGUCUCAACCCGCCCCCGGACUCUGAUCAUGGCCUUGUUACACUGACUUUCCCCUCCACUACCUGGUCUUCUUGUCCAAGUUCUCAGAGGACCACGCCCCGAUCGAGGUCAGGAGUGAAGCUAACCCGUUCUCUAGUGAGUCGGCUGGAGUCUCAUCGCUGGCCUGUCCUGCCUCCCAUCUCCCCUGUCAGAGGACACUCUGGCACUGCAGCAUCGCACUCCUCUGAGCUCAGCUGCAGUCAGUCUCAUGUAUUUGAUGAACUGGAGGCCAUCGCCCCUCGAUCGGCUUCCGGUUUGUCUCUGAACCAGGCAUCAGACUCAUCAGCCUGCUCUUUACCUGACACAGAGCUUUCUCCCGGCCUGGCAGCACUGACAGUGGGCUGUGACUCAGGGAAUCUGGGCUCCCUGUCCCGGGUCCAGCUGCUCCUCCUGGACCGACCAGAGCCAGAGACCCUGCUGAGUGCAUAUGGUCUUGAGGAAGAGUUCACUUUGGUGCAGGACUGGAGCGAUCUGAGGGUGCAGUACGAUCCAGGACUGACUUCAUCAGGUGUUCUGAGGCCUCUCACAGCUGGCAGCAUCUCUGAAAGGUGUGACUCCGCAGGGAAAGUCCAGGAAAACAAUUCGGAUCGAUCUGAAGGAGGCUCUUGGUCACCGUCGUCAUGGAUCAUAGACCCAAGUCCAUCAUGCAACAUGUUCAGAGCCUCAUGUUCUCCCUGCCCAUCCAGUCACAGUUCCAGGACAGACGAAGGGGGCUCCUCUGAGGACGAGUCCAGUCAUCCAGGAUGGGGGGACCAGGAUGAGUCCUUAGCUGGAGGAAGGAAACCUGAGAUUCUUGAACAUAGAAAUGAAGAGAAGGACACAAGGAUGGAGGAGAGGAAAACAAAGGUGCUUCACAUGCUCUCCAAGUUGCAGGAAGAUACACCUCGGAAGAGCAACAGCUACAAACGCUGCUCCAACUUUGAGGAUUAUCAGCCGCUAACACGCCUCCAGAUGGCCAGUGAACCUCAACCUCAGCUCAUUGUGAAAUAAAUUCAUCCUGCCACACAAGCUGCCGUUUCACUUUAGCAGACUGACCAGUGCAC
Mastacembelus armatus (zig-zag eel) is the source of this 2394-nucleotide long non-coding RNA. Ensembl lists it as uncharacterized. The record is from Ensembl. NCBI's taxonomy places the organism in Eukaryota, Metazoa, Chordata, Actinopteri, Synbranchiformes, Mastacembelidae.